CCCUUAGAUGUUCUGGGCCGCACACGCGCUACACUGAAGGAGGCAGCGUGUACUCCUGGAUCGAAAGAUUUGGGUAACCCGCGAAUCUCCUUCGUGCUAGGGAUUGAGGUUUGCAAUUAUCCUUCAUGAACGAGGAAUUCCCAGUAAGUGCAAGUCAUAAGCUUGCGCUGACUACGUCCCUGCCCUUUGUACACACCGCCCGUCGCUCCUACCGAUUGAAUGGUCCGGUGAAGCGUUCGGACCGUGGCCUUUGGACGGUUCGCCGUCUGUUGGCUGCGGGAAGUUCGUUAAACCUUAUCAUUUAGAGGAAGGAGAAGUCGUANCA
This 325-nucleotide ribosomal RNA is filed under the name uncultured eukaryote. Its description in RNAcentral is "partial 18S ribosomal RNA". It matches the Rfam family "Eukaryotic small subunit ribosomal RNA", at positions 1470 to 1796 of the family's 1831-position model. The record is from RNAcentral.